UACAGAGGGUGCGAGCGUUAUUCGGAUUCAUUGGGCGUAUAGCGCAUGUAGGCGGUUCACUAAGCCUGAUGUGAAAUCCCAGAGCUCCAAUCUGGAAGUGCAUUGGAUACUGUCGGACUAGAGUGCAGGAGAGGAGAGCGGAAUUCCUGGUGUAGAGGUGAAAUUCGUAGAUAUCAGGAGGAACAACAGUGGCGAAGGCGGCUCUCUGGACUGUUACUGACGCUGAGAUGCGAAAGCGUGGGGAGCAAACAGG
This 253-nucleotide ribosomal RNA is filed under the name uncultured bacterium. RNAcentral describes it as "partial 16S ribosomal RNA". It matches the Rfam family "Bacterial small subunit ribosomal RNA", at positions 524 to 776 of the family's 1533-position model. The record is from RNAcentral.